Molecule: long non-coding RNA, 169 nt
Organism: Myxocyprinus asiaticus (Chinese sucker)
Lineage: Eukaryota; Metazoa; Chordata; Actinopteri; Cypriniformes; Catostomidae
Exons: 3
Source: RefSeq, a predicted model, not a curated record
CUGUUAUUAAGGAUGGGGAAGAAAAAGAAAAACACUUGGACGAUGCAAAACACUGGCUUAAAUGUUGUGACCACAACCAGCUUGAACCACUGACUGGGAGCUUCAUUCUACUCUCAUGGAGGUGGCAGGAUGCAGCUGGUGAUGUCAGAGGCGAUCUUGGCAUGCGGCG